Molecule: ribosomal RNA, 474 nt
Filed under: uncultured bacterium
Lineage: Bacteria
Description: partial 16S ribosomal RNA
Rfam family: Bacterial small subunit ribosomal RNA
Source: RNAcentral
GAUGAACGCUAGCGGCAGGCCUAACACAUGCAAGUCGAGGGAGGAGCUUUCGGGCUUCGACCGGCGUACGGGUGCGUAACGCGUAUACAAUCUGCCUUUCACAUAGGGAUAGCCCGAAGAAAUUUGGAUUAAUACCUAAUGGUAUAUAGGAGUGGCAUCACCUUUAUAUUAAAGCUGAGGCGGUGAAAGAUGAGUAUGCGUUCUAUUAGCUAGUUGGAGAGGUAACGGCUCCCCAAGGCGACGAUAGAUAGGGGUUCUGAGAGGGAUAUCCCCCACACUGGUACUGAGAUACGGACCAGACUCCUACGGGAGGCAGCAGUGAGGAAUAUUGGACAAUGGUCGGAAGACUGAUCCAGCCAUGCCGCGUGCAGGAAGACGGCCUUAUGGGUCGUAAACUGCUUUUGCAGGGGAAGAAUAAGGAGUACGUGUACUUUGAUGACGGUACUCUGCGAAUAAGCAUCGGCUAACUCCGUG